RNAcentral lists this ribosomal RNA (253 nucleotides) under uncultured bacterium. RNAcentral's name for it is "partial 16S ribosomal RNA". It matches the Rfam family "Bacterial small subunit ribosomal RNA", at positions 524 to 776 of the family's 1533-position model. The record is from RNAcentral.
UACAGAGGGGGCAAGCGUUGUUCGGAAUUACUGGGCGUAAAGGGCGCGUAGGCGGCCUUCUAAGUCAGACGUGAAAUCCCCAGGCUUAACCUGGGAACUGCGUCUGAUACUGGAUGGCUUGAAUUCGGGAGAGGGAUGCAGAAUUCCAGGUGUAGCGGUGAAAUGCGUAGAUAUCUGGAGGAAUACCGGUGGCGAAGGCGGCAUCCUGGACCGAGAUUGACGCUGAGGCGCGAAAGCCAGGGGAGCAAACGGG